Brienomyrus brachyistius is the source of this 613-nucleotide long non-coding RNA. RefSeq lists it as uncharacterized. The record is from RefSeq and is a predicted model, not a curated record. The transcript has 4 exons. Lineage: Eukaryota; Metazoa; Chordata; Actinopteri; Osteoglossiformes; Mormyridae.
UCACAAAGUAUUACGCUCGUGAAAAAGUUCUCUAGGGGGCGGUGACAGAAGCCGCGGAAUAGUAGUGUGUUAUUUAAACUGCGUCAGAAAUGUUUGCUAGAAGAAAGCUCCGUACAGAGUGUCAUCGAUGGACAGACGGCCCUGGAAGUCUCCAGGAUCUAUGGAUGUCUCACCACUGGAAGUUUUUUUCUCAAGAGACAGGAAGAUUUUUUAUGAAAUGUAGACUGGAAACUCUCAGAUGAAAUCCAUCUCCUAAUUAUAGGAGAAAUGAAGCAGUAGGAGUCAUGCCAGCUGCAGCAGUUAGACUGAAGAGGCACCCUGCUGCGUAUCCCGGGAAUCCCCUGAAGGCGGCAGCCCUGGGAGGACAUGUGCAUGGCAGAAGAGUGUGUACUUUUAACACAGUCAUCCCCCCCACGUGCCGGACGGCAUGGGAGAGAAAACAGCCCUCUUUCAUCCAGAUCAGACGACAUCUGCCAACCAGCCACUGGCCCCCUCAACCACAAGCCAUGCUUGUUUGCAGUGCGCACCCUUGACCCGCAGCCUCCUCACCAACACAGAGCGCCUUCGACAUUACAUCAGAAGAAAAACAACAAUAAAUCAUCAUUUAAAAGUA